This 468-nucleotide ribosomal RNA is filed under the name uncultured bacterium. Its description in RNAcentral is "partial 16S ribosomal RNA". It matches the Rfam family "Bacterial small subunit ribosomal RNA", at positions 28 to 507 of the family's 1533-position model. The record is from RNAcentral.
GACGAACGCUGGCGGCGUGCUUAACACAUGCAAGUCGAACGGAAAGGCCCUGCUUUUGUUGGGUGCUCGAUUGGCGAACGGGUGUGUAACACGUGAGUAACCUGCCCUUGUCUUUGGGAUAACUUCAGGAAACUGGGGCUAAUACCGGAUAUGAUCUCUUGCUGCAUGGGGUGGGUUGGAAAGUGUCGGCGGUUGUGGAUGGACUCGCGGGUUAUCAGCUUGUUGGUGGGGUAGUGGCUUACCAGGGCUUUGACGGGUAGCCGGCCUGAGAGGGGUACCGGCCACCUUGGGCCUGAGGUAGGGAGCAGACUCCAACCGGAGGCAGCAGUCGGGAAUAUUGCGGAGUGGGGGGACGUGAGAUGCGGAAAUGCCGGGUGCGGGAUGCCGGCCUUCGGGUUGUGAACCAAUUUGGAAUGUGCCGAAGAGUGAGUGACGGUAAUGGGUCAAGAAGCACCGGCUAACUACGUG